UACGUAGGGUGCGAGCGUUAAUCGGAAUUACUGGGCGUAAAGCGUGCGUAGGCGGUCCGCAAAGUCUGAUGUGAAAGCCCCGGGCUCAACCUGGGAACUGCAUUGGAAACUAACGGGCUCGAGUGUGGCAGAGGGGGGUGGAAUUCCACGUGUAGCAGUGAAAUGCGUAGAGAUGUGGAGGAACACCGAUGGCGAAGGCAGCCUUCUGGGCCAACACUGACGCUCAUGCACGAAAGCGUGGGGAGCAAACAGG
This 253-nucleotide ribosomal RNA is filed under the name uncultured bacterium. Its description in RNAcentral is "partial 16S ribosomal RNA". It matches the Rfam family "Bacterial small subunit ribosomal RNA", at positions 524 to 776 of the family's 1533-position model. The record is from RNAcentral.